AACGAACGCUGGCGGCAUGCCUAACACAUGCAAGUCGAACGAGAUCUUCGGGUCUAGUGGCGCACGGGUGCGUAACGCGUGGGAAUCUGCCCUUUGGUUCGGAAUAACAGUUGGAAACGACUGCUAAUACCGGAUGAUGACGAAAGUCCAAAGAUUUAUCGCCAGAGGAUGAGCCCGCGUAGGAUUAGCUAGUUGGUGUGGUAAAGGCGCACCAAGGCGACGAUCCUUGGCUGGUCUGAGAGGAUGAUCAGCCACACUGAGACUGAGACACGGCCCAGACUCCUACGGGAGGCAGCAGUGGGGAAUAUUGGACAAUGGGCGAAAGCCUGAUCCAGCAAUGCCGCGUGAGUGAUGAAGGCCUUAGGGUUGUAAAGCCCUUUUACCCGGGAUGAUAAUGACAGUACCGGGAGAAUAAGCUCCGGCUAACUCCGUGCCAGCCGCCGCAGUAA
Molecule: ribosomal RNA, 449 nt
Filed under: uncultured bacterium
Lineage: Bacteria
Description: partial 16S ribosomal RNA
Rfam family: Bacterial small subunit ribosomal RNA
Source: RNAcentral